GCAGGAGUCUCAUUAUCCCGGGUCUCGUCAGCAGGAGUCUCAUCAACCGGUUCAGAAUCAGAGGAAGAGCCCGGAUCAGCAUCAGCACCCGGAUUGGCAGGAGGAAGAAAGCUAGGAGAAGGGCCUUCGUAAGGCUCCGGUUCUCCUUUCCCAGCCUUGAUUUCAUCCUUAGCAGCAAGAUAGAGCUCUAUAAAACUCUGCAAGGAAGCCUCCGGGUCAGUCUUGAUGUGCCGCUCGGCAACAUGCCAACACCGGACGACUUCAAGAGCUCCAGCGGCGGCCAAGGCAUCCGCAUAAGCAGAGGACUUCUGGAAUUCUGCAAUAACCUUCUCCGGUUCCUCUCUCCCUUCCAAAAGCCUCUUCAGAUCAGCCACUUCCUUCUCCAACCCGGUGACUUUCUUCUCAGCGCUAUCAGCCCGGGUACCAGCAUCUUUAAUCUUCUGAUCCAGUUCAGCUUCUUUCCGGAUCUCAGCCUCCUUGAUCUUAGAGGCCAUCCCGGCCUCCAAAGCCUCCCGGGCUGAUUUCUCCACAUCAAGAUCCUUCUCCAGCUUUGUGACCCGAGCAAGGCUUUUCACGGAAAGAUCCCUCUCCUGCUUCAAACUGUUCAAGGCAUGGGUAUUGAACCCGGCCAGACGACCACCAAGCUAGAAAAGAAGCAGAAUACCGGGGUCAAUAAAACCAGAAAUUAAGAAAAUGAAGAAGGAAAGCAAAGUACAAGAAAAAAGAGAGAGAGAGGAGUCGGAUCGUAAGAUACCUGACCCCACAAGUUCCCAAUUUCUUUGAAAUUCGAGGCAAGACCCUCGUCCUCCAUCAUCUCCCAGUCCUGGUCGGAGGGGAGUUCGGACAUCAACCCGAGCACCUUCUUAACCGGGUACUUGCCGAAUUUAGGGGCCGGGCGGGAACCACCCUCAACCUCGACUCCAAGAUCCACCACCUCCAUAGCCGCCUUGCCCGGAUCCUCCACAGUCAUAUCAAUCACUUCCCUUUGUGAAGAACCAGCAUCAAUCUUCUUCCUUUUUCUUUGUGGUCCUUGAUCCGGGCUCUCCACUUCUUCAGCGUCAGCAACCAACUCCGGAUCCGGAGUUGGUUGCGGAGUAGCACUGGAAUGCCCGGUACCCUCCGUCCCUUGACGGGAGGACCCGGACUCCCCUCUUUUCGACCCGGACUCGCCCUUCUUCGAGUCUCCCUUCUUCCCCGACUUCUUCUUUGGUGGAGGCUUCGGAGCCACAUGCACACCUCCCAAAUUCCGAAGAGCAGCAGCAAAAGAAUCCUUCGCAGACAUGAUAGCCCAAAGAUCCGGAUCAAAGUAUGGGAGACCUGCCAAAAAGAAGAAAACCCGGGUCAAAAACAAAGAACAGGGACAAAAAUCCAACAAUAUCAUACUAAAGAAACAUGACUAAAGGAACAGUCAAGCCAUAAACAGAAGGACCCGGACAAACAGAAGGACCCGGACAAACAGAAGGACAAGACACUACAAAAGCAAAGUAAAAAAGCGAAAAGAGAAGACAACUCACAACCACCCUCGUGCAGCUUAUCAUGCUGCAUGAAUGUAUCCCGGGUUAAUUGGAACCCGAUGCAAGUACAGAAUUCGACCAACUGCGCCCGGAAUUCCCCAUCAGCACCCGGGGCACCGAAGUCGGUCCUCACCUUCUUAUCGUCAGUCUCCAUAUAAGGCAUAAAGGCCAGAUCCAGACCCUUAAGCAUAAGAACCUCACCAUUCCAAAGCUUCAGCGAACUUUGGUGAAUCACCGGACUCACGAGCCCGGUCCCCAGGCCACACUCCUUCGAACGGAAGCGAAGCUCGUACAAAGGUUUCACACCGGACUUUUUAAAUUGAAACAGAACGUGGAACAGCUUCAACGUCGGAUAAUAGUUCAUCUUAUUACACGCCCACAGGAACCAGGUCAUCCAUUUGACCGCGUUCGGCGUCAGCUGCAUCGGAGAAAUCUUCCACUCGUACUUGCACAAAUGCUUGAAAAAAAUGUGCCACCGGGGGUUCCAGCCGGAUCGAAGGUGCUCCAUCCAUACCGGAACAAAACCAUCUUCGGGCCGAUGAUAUAUCAUCUCCCCGGGCUCAGGCCACCUCCACUCGACUUCGGGAGGAAGCUGAAAAGCUGCCCGGAUCAUCCGGUCCGCCAUAUCUGGAGCCAUCUCUUUGACAUAACUCCUCACCGGGAACGGAGCCCGGAUCCCAGGAAACUCUCGGAACAUCUCAUCGAAUUUCUCUUUAUUAUAAGGGGCCAAUUUCCCGUUCGGGUGUUUGGAUCUAUAAAACCCCGACAUAUUAACAUAAAAACCCUUCUCUUC
RNAcentral lists this long non-coding RNA (2307 nucleotides) under Daucus carota (carrot). RNAcentral's name for it is "long non-coding RNA (DCAR_LNC000587)". The record is from RNAcentral. Lineage: Eukaryota; Viridiplantae; Streptophyta; Magnoliopsida; Apiales; Apiaceae.